This is a long non-coding RNA of Oncorhynchus nerka (sockeye salmon), 358 nucleotides long. RefSeq lists it as uncharacterized. The record is from RefSeq and is a predicted model, not a curated record. NCBI's taxonomy places the organism in Eukaryota, Metazoa, Chordata, Actinopteri, Salmoniformes, Salmonidae. The transcript is spliced from 3 exons.
CCUGUAGUAAUGUUUGUUCCUAACCAGGCACCUGUGUCGACCCUGUCAUAACCGUGAGAAGGCUAGAGGUCUGGGGAAGUACAUCUGUCAGAAAUGCCAUGCCAUCAUCGAGGACAGCCCCCUCAUCUUUAAGAACGACCCCUACCACCCCGACCACUUCAACUGCAACAACUGUGGUAAGGAGCUGACAGCAGAUGCCAGGGAGCUGAAGGGAGAGCUGUACUGUCUGCCCUGCCAUGAUAAGAUGGGGGUGCCGAUCUGUGGCGCCUGCAGGAGGCCCAUCGAGGGACGCGUGGUCAACGCCAUGGGCAAGCAGUGGCACGUCGAGCACUUUGGGUGUAGUGUAUGUGAGCGAUCG